This is an RNA transcript of Dendrobium catenatum, 2304 nucleotides long. It is a transcript of the gene named phospho-N-acetylmuramoyl-pentapeptide-transferase homolog, with no coding region annotated. NCBI's taxonomy places the organism in Eukaryota, Viridiplantae, Streptophyta, Magnoliopsida, Asparagales, Orchidaceae. The transcript is spliced from 9 exons. The record is from RefSeq and is a predicted model, not a curated record.
GAGGACUUUUCCCGUUCCCGUCUUGCUUCGAUGAUUCCGCUUCCCUUCCGCAGCAGCUAAUAAGGGCGUCAUCAACCUCCGAUACAUUCUCCAGUGGCCUACUUCGGCCAUCAAAUCGACAACCUCUCCAUCGCCUUCAUGUGUUCCGCAAGCCUCCAUCUUCUUCGUCUAGGGUUGGCCCAAUCCCUGCGAGCCAGUUCUCAGCCCUGCGUUUCCAGGAGAGCAUCGUCUUCCUUUGACCCGGAUCUUCAAUCCGGUUGUUCUUUUAUCAAGCGGCGCAUUGGUGCGGAAAUUAGCUUGCAGAGAUGCGAUUUGCGUAAUUCUUUCUUUCCUGUUGCGGCGGCGAUUGAUGAGGAUUUUGGUGAUGUCUCCUUUUCUCUUGAGAAUGAUGGGGUUUAUAGAGGGAGUUCUGGUUAUAUAAUUUCGUCUAGUGAAGGGGAGGAUAGCGAUAUUGAUGCUUUCCUAACUCCUUUUGCUGAAACUGACCUGCCAACAAGCAGGGAACGCUUAGAAACUCCCAAUGCUGCAUUGACUUUGUCGGCCCACCGGUUGGCAACCAUUCAAAAAGGUUACAGAAAGAAUAGGACUCGACGAGGAGUCAUCCUUACAUUGGGAUUGACAGCCUUCUUGGUAUUGUUUCUUUUAUCUGUUGAUUGGUGCUCAUGGAGGAUUGUUAGGCUACCUUUGAAGCCAUUUUAUUUGACAUACCCAUUUUCUAUAUCAGCAUUUUUAUCAGCAUGUAUUGGAUUUUUGUUUGUUGCCAUUGUUGAUGGCCUGAAAAUACAUCAGGUCGUCAAGAGGGAAAGACCUCUUAAUUCCCUUAAAACAUCAAUACCUACAAUUGGUGGCUUAUUUUUCCUUCCAGUUGGCAUCACCACAGCGAGAGCUAUAAUAGGACAUCAUAAUAUCCUUUUUAUUGCAGUAGCAGCAGUGACUCUGGGUUUUGCAGCAAUUGGUUUGCUUGAUGAUAUUUUUCGAUUUACCAAGAAUUAUAACCACCAAUUGCCUGGAUGGCUGAAAUUAUUAUUACAUCUAGUAGUUGGGAUGUGGUUUUCAAUUUGGCUGGAGUCAACCGAUUUACCAACACCAUACAGCAUGAAGUUGUUGGUUCCUCUGCCUCCACCUUAUGGGCUUGUUCAUCUGGGAAAGUGCUAUCCGCUAUUGACACUAUUUUGUUUUGUUGUUAUGCCCAAUGGUGUUCACUUAACUGACGAAGCUGAUGGCUUAGUUGGCGGGGUUUCUGCAUUGGCCUUUGUUGGGAUGUCAAUUGCUGUUCUUCCAAUUUGUCCCGAACUUGCUGUUUUCGGAGCCUCCAUGGCUGGAGCAAGCGUGGGAUUUCUUUUCCACAAUCGAUAUAAGGCUUCCAUACUCUUGGGUGGUGUUGGGUCAUUAGGAUUGGGUGGAGCUCUUUCAGCGAUGGCUGCUUGCACAGGGAUGUUUUUUCCUUUAUUUAUAUCGUCUGGAGUUUUUAUCCUUGAAGCAUUGUCAGUUGUACUUCAGGCUAUUGUUCUGAAAGCUACAAUACACAGAAAAGGGUCUGCCAGACUCGUCUCCCAUGUGGCCCCUUUGCAACAUCAACUAAAGCUAUAUGGGAUAAAAGUACCCCUCAUUGUUGCAAGUGCAUAUGUUUUGUCGAGCAUCUUGGCUAUUUUUGCUGCAUACGUUGGUCUAAUUUCAGCUUGAGUUACAGAUCUAUCUUCACACAGCCAGUUUCAGAAGUAUAUAGCAGAGAGCUGACAACAUAAUUGCCCAUAGCUUAUCUGUACAGCAAGUGGAAGGACCUCUCUCCAUUCUAAAACCUUCACAUCAUCACAUGACUCUCUUUAUAAAUCACACACUUCUCCAUCUCCCUCUACUAUGUUCUCUCCUUAUGGAAGACAUGGCAUCCACAAUGAGCAAGAGCUAUGGCAUCCACAUUGAUGGUACCAUUGAUCUCGAUCUUUUGGAACUUCUCGAUGAGGAGUUCGAAGGCGAUGGCGACGUUGAUGAUGAUAAGCUCGACAAGUUCAUGGAGAUGCUCUAAGCGGAAAUUGUUGGUGGGGGAGAGGAUUUGAUAUCCUUGGACGAUGUUGAUGGCGGCGGCUGGCAAUGCGAUGCGGUGGGAUGGCCGGAGAUGAUGGAGAUGGAUGAGUGUGGAUAUGUGUUUGGAGAUUAUGGUUGUUUCUAUUAUGUUGGUGUGGAAGGGAAGGGAGAAGAGGAUAUUAUGAAUAGAGACUAUUAUUAUAUACUUUGGUAGCAAAUGUUUGAUGCAUGAAGAGAUUAUUUUUUAUGAUUGGAGAAUAAAAUUUUCAAUUUUUAGUAAAA